This 253-nucleotide ribosomal RNA is filed under the name uncultured bacterium. Its description in RNAcentral is "partial 16S ribosomal RNA". It matches the Rfam family "Bacterial small subunit ribosomal RNA", at positions 524 to 776 of the family's 1533-position model. The record is from RNAcentral.
UACGUAGGAGGCGAGCGUUGUCCGGAGUUACUGGGCGUAAAGCGCGUGUAGGCGGCUACGUGUGUCGGGCGUGAAAGCCCACGGCUCAACCGUGGAAGUGCACCCGAAACUGCGUAGCUAGAGUCCUGGAGAGGAAGGUGGAAUGCUUGGUGUAGAGGUGAAAUUCGUAGAUAUCAAGCGGAACACCGGUGGCGAAGGCGGCCUUCUGGACAGUGACUGACGCUGAGACGCGAAAGCGUGGGGAGCAAACAGG